GUUUGUUUGGAGUUAUAAAGAAUUUAACCUGCCCCCUGAUUAAUUAUUUUAAAGGGCCGCAGUAUUAUAACUGUGCAAAGGUAGCAUAAUCAUUAGGUUUUUAAUUGAAAUCUCGUAUGAAUGGUUGGACAAAAGAAAAACUCUCUUUAUAUUAAGUUUUGAAUUUAACUUUUAAGUGAAAAGGCUUAAAUAUUCUAAAGGGACGAUAAGACCCUAUAAAACUUUACAUUGUCAUUAAUUUUGAUUGAAUUUAUGAAUAAGAAUUUUAUUUGAUUAUUUGUUAUGUUGGGGAGACAUAAGUAAAAUUUUUUUUUAACUGCUUUGAUAGUUAUACAAUUAUUAAUGAGUAAGUAGAAGAUCCUUUUUUAAGAUUAGUAGAUUAAGUUACUUUAGGGAUAACAGUGUAAUUUCUUUUAAGAGUUCUUAUCGAAAAAGAAGGUUGCAACCUCGAUGUUGAAUUAAAAUAUCUAUAUAAUGGAGAGAUUAUAUAAGAAGGUCUGUUCGACCUUGAAAAUUUUACAUGAUUUGAGUUCAAACCGGCGUAAG
Molecule: ribosomal RNA, 546 nt
Filed under: Longpotamon fujianense
Lineage: Eukaryota; Metazoa; Arthropoda; Malacostraca; Decapoda; Potamidae
Also listed under: 1 other name
Description: partial 16S ribosomal RNA
Rfam family: Bacterial large subunit ribosomal RNA
Source: RNAcentral